UCGAUGAAACUGAACCUUUUCGAUGGGAUGCCAUUGAAAACGAACCGGCUAAUCUUCUGUAAUGCUAUUAUGAGGAUUGCCCUUUGAGGCUGAUAGCAAUAGGUCGCCCUAUGGUCGGUUACAUGCUUUUGUUGA
This 135-nucleotide non-coding RNA is filed under the name unclassified sequences. RNAcentral's name for it is "Staphylococcus-1 RNA". It matches the Rfam family "Staphylococcus-1 RNA". Rfam says of the family: Firmicute (1 example). The record is from Rfam by way of RNAcentral.